Molecule: ribosomal RNA, 697 nt
Filed under: Mula resonans
Lineage: Eukaryota; Metazoa; Arthropoda; Insecta; Hemiptera; Derbidae
Description: partial large subunit ribosomal RNA
Rfam family: Eukaryotic large subunit ribosomal RNA
Source: RNAcentral
UCGUCAUCUAAUUAGUGACGCGCAUGAAUGGAUUAACGAGAUUACAUAGUUGUCCCUAUUUACUAUCUAGCGAAACCACAGCCAAGGGAACGGGCUUGGAAUAAUCAGCGGGGAAAGAAGACCCUGUUGAGCUUGACUCCAAUCUGGCUUUGUAAAGAGACACAGGAGGUGUAGCAUAAGUGGGAAUUGCUUUUUCUCAAGUAGAACUGGCGCCAAUGAAAUACCACUACUCUUGUAGUUUCUUCACUAAACCGUGAAGCGACGAUAUCGUGGGCUUGGCCAACGGCCUCGCCUGUCGAUACGUCUCGAUUUAACGAGCGGGAAGUGCACUGGAAGCCGUGCUGCCGCCCAGAGCGGCCAGUACGGUUAGUAGGCGUACGAACUCUCGGCUGUUUAUCGACACGGAUAACCGGCCAGACGGGGAGUUCGACUGGGGCGGUACGUCUGUCAAAACAUAACGCAGGUGUCCUAAGGCGAGCUCAGCGAGGCGAGAAACCUCGCGUAGAGCAAAAGGGCAAAUGCUCGCUUGACUCUUGUGCUCAGUACGCAUAGGAGCUGCGAAAGCAGGGCCUAUCGAUCCUCUUGGCGUGAAGAGAUUUCAUCAAGAGGUGACAGAAAAGUUACCACAGGGAUAACUGGCUUGUGGCAGCCAAGCGUUCAUAGCGACGUUGCUUUUUGAUCCUUCGAUGUCGGCUCU